UAAAAAAACAGCUGAGAGAAACAAAAGACAAGAAAAAUGAAAACUCAUUUGAGAAACAGGUCUCCUGUCAUGAAAAUUCUAAAAGCUGUAUAAGAAGAAAAGCCAUCGUAAGAGAAGAUCUAUUAAGUGCAAAAGUUUGUGACUUGAAGUGGAUACAUAGUAAGUUACUUUUUGCUUGUGGAUUCUACCUUUUUUUUUGUUGUUUUUUAAUUUAAUGGUUGUGUCAGAGUUCUCAUCAGUAACACUUCAGGCUGGAAAAUAGUCCUCAGAACUCUGUACAUUGUGUUAAAUCCUACAUAAAUUUUGUUUUCAUGGAGCAAUUUA
RNAcentral lists this long non-coding RNA (324 nucleotides) under Homo sapiens (human). RNAcentral's name for it is "non-protein coding lnc-SLC38A1-8:1". The record is from RNAcentral. Lineage: Eukaryota; Metazoa; Chordata; Mammalia; Primates; Hominidae.